AAAAAGGACGUUUAGUAAUUCUAAAAGGGACUACAAGAUGAAAAACAAUAGUUUUGCCAGUUAAAGUUUGAGAUUCGAUGGUGCCGUAGAUCCGUUUGGUCAUCAGGUGUUACGAGCCACACCCAUGUCUAGCUAGAAUAGUGUGUCAGGCUCAGGCUAGAGAAGAAACAGGGUACAAACUGAUGAAAGAAUUAUCAUACCGAGGGAAUUCACUCAGAACUAACAAGAAUGAUAACGUGCUCCGACUGGAGCGGUUUAGGAACUGCUGGAAACCUCUAGGGGAAUAAAGAUGGAAUGACUUCUAAUUUUUAGGUCCGUAUGGUUUGAAAUACUUGCACACAAACCGCCCGAAAGCAUUCCUAGAAAUCUCGGCCCAAAAAAUGACGUUUAGUAAUUCUAAAUGGGAAUACAAGAUGAAAAACAAUAGUUUUGGCAGUUAAAGUUUGAGAUUCGAUGGUGUCGUAGAUCCAUUUGGUCAUCAGGUGUUACGAGCCACACCCAUGUCUAGCUAGAAUAGUGUGUCAGGCUCAGGCUAGAGAAGAAACGGGGAACAAACUGAUGAAAGAAUUAUCAUAACGAGGGAAUUCACUCAGAACUAACAAGAAUGAUAACGUGCUCCGACUGGAGCGGUUUAGGAACUUCUGGAAGCCUCUAGGGGAAUAAAGAUGGAAUGACUUCUAAUUUUUAGGUCCGUACGAUUUGAAAUACUUGCACACAAACCCCAAGAAAGCGUUUCUGGAAAUCUCGGCCCAAAAAAGGACGUUUAGUAAUUCUAAAAGGGACUACAGGAUGAAAAACAAUAGUUUUGCCAGUUAAAGUUUGAGAUUCGAUGGUGCCGUAGAUCCGUUUGGUCAUCAGGUGUUACGAGCCACACCCAUGUCUAGCUAGAAUAGUGUGUCAGGCUCAGGCUAGAGAAGAAACAGGGUACAAACUGAUGAAAGAAUUAUCAUACCGAGGGAAUUCACUCAGAACUAACAAGAAUGAUAACGUGCUCCGACUGGAGCAGUUUAGGAACGGCUUGAAGGCUCUAGGGGAAUAAAGAUGGAAUGACUUCUAAUUUUUAGGUCCGUAUGAUUUGAAAUACUUGCACACAAACCCCGAGAAAGCGUUCCUGGAAAUCUCGGCCCAAAAAGGACGUUUAGUAAUUCUAAAAGGGACUACAAGAUGAAAAACAAUAGUUUUGGCAGUUAAAGUUUGAGAAUCGAUGGUGCCGUAGAUCCGUUUGGUCAUCAGGUGUUACGAGCACACCCAUGUCUAGCUUGAAUAGUGUGUCAGGCUCAGUCUAGAGAAGAAACGGGGAACAAACUGAUGAAAGAAUUAUCAUACCGAGGGAAUUCACUCAGAAUUAACAAGAAUGAUAACGUGCUCCGACUUGAGCGGUUUAGGAACAGCUGGAAGGCUCUAGGGGAAUAAAGAUGGAAUGACUUCUAAUUUUUAGGUCCGUAUGAUCUGAAAUACUUGCACAAAAACCUCGAGAAAGCGUUCCUGGAAAUCUUGGCCCAAAAAAGGACGUUUAGUAAUUCUAAAAGGGACUACAAGAUGAAAAAUAAUAGUUUUGCCAGUUAAAGUUUGAGAUUCGAUGGUGUCGUAGAUCCGUUUGGUCAUCAGGUGUUACGAGCCACACCCAUGUCUAGCUAGAAUAGUGUGUCAGGCUCAGGCUGGAGAAGAAACAGGGUACAAACUGAUGAAAGAAUUAUCAUACUGAGGGAAUUCACUCAGAACUAACAAGAAUGAUAACGUGCUCCGACUGGAGCGGUUUAGGAACUGCUGGAAAGGUCUAGGGGAAUAAAGAUGGAAUGACUUCUAAUUUUUAGGUCCGUAUGGUUUGAAAUACUUGCACACAAACCGCACGAAAGCAUUCCUAGAAAUCUCGGCCCAAAAAAUGACGUUUAGUAAUUCUAAAUGGGACUAUAGGAUGAAAAACAAUAGUUUUGGCAGUUAAAGUUUGAGAUUCGAUGGUGCCGUAGAUCCGUUUGGUCAUCAGGUGUUACGAGCCACACCCAUGUCUAGCUAGAAUAGUGUGUCAGGCUCAGGCUAGAGAAGAAACGGGGAACAAACUGAUGAAAGAAUUAUCAUAACGAGGGAAUUCACUCAGAACUAACAAGAAUGAUAACGUGCUCCGACUGGAGCGGUUUAGGAACUGCUGGAAGGCUCUAGGGGAAUAAAGAUGGAAUGACUUCUAAUUUUUAGGUCCGUAUGAUUUGAAAUACUUGCACACAAACCCCGAGAAAGCGUUCCUGGAAAUCUCGGCCCAAGAAAGGACGUUUAGUAAUUCUAAAAGGGACUACAGGAUGAAAAACAAUAGUUUUGGCAGUUAAAGUUUGAGAUUCGAUGGUGCCGUAGAUCCGUUUGGUCAUCAGGUGUUACGAGCCACACCCAUGUCUAGCUUGAAUAGUGUGUCAGGCUCAGGAUAUAGAAGAAACAGGGAACAAACUGAUGAAAGAAUUAUCAUACCGAGGGAAUUCACUC
This 2469-nucleotide long non-coding RNA is filed under the name Triticum aestivum (bread wheat). RNAcentral describes it as "long non-coding RNA (TAES_LNC017172)". The record is from RNAcentral. Lineage: Eukaryota; Viridiplantae; Streptophyta; Magnoliopsida; Poales; Poaceae.